AUUGAACGCUGGCGGUAUGCUUAACACAUGCAAGUCGAACGGUAACAGGCUUUCGGGCGCUGACGAGUGGCGGACGGGUGAGUAACGCGUAGGAAUCUGCCUUAUAGUGGGGGACAACGUGGGGAAACCCACGCUAAUACCGCAUACGCCCUACGGGGAAAGCGGGGAUCUUAGGACCUCGCGCUAUGAGAUGAGCCUGCGUUAGAUUAGCUAGUUGGUAGGGUAAAGGCCUACCAAGGCGACGAUCUAUAGCUGGUCUGAGAGGACGAUCAGCCACACUGGGACUGAGACACGGCCCAGACUCCUACGGGAGGCAGCAGUGGGGAAUAUUGGACAAUGGGCGCAAGCCUGAUCCAGCAAUACCGCGUGUGUGAAGAAGGUCUUCGGAUUGUAAAACCCUGUCGUCGGGGACGAAGGUAGGGGGUUAAUAGCCUUUGCUUGACGGUACCCGGAGAGGAAGCCCGGCUAACUCUGUGCCAGCAGCCGCGGUAAU
Molecule: ribosomal RNA, 493 nt
Filed under: uncultured bacterium
Lineage: Bacteria
Description: bacterial SSU rRNA
Rfam family: Bacterial small subunit ribosomal RNA
Source: RNAcentral